Long non-coding RNA from Phyllostomus discolor (pale spear-nosed bat), 2110 nucleotides. RefSeq lists it as uncharacterized. The record is from RefSeq and is a predicted model, not a curated record. The transcript is spliced from 2 exons. Lineage: Eukaryota; Metazoa; Chordata; Mammalia; Chiroptera; Phyllostomidae.
GUUUGCAGGACAAGGCCCAGUUCACUGAGCCACACCCAUCAUGUUCUCUUAAAAGGCAGACACAUAGUCUUGUUCAAAGAGCCUUCCUUACCAGUGAAGUUAGUGAAUUAAUACCAUCUACUCACUACAUGUUGAUUGUGAUUUAUAGCUCUCUCAAGCACAUAGUUUCAUUUUAUACUUACAAUAAGUUUUAAAGUAUUACACAGUAGAUAUUGUUUCCACAUACUAGUAAGAAAAUUGAAUAUUAAAGCCAAGAAAUAAGUAAGAGUUUUAGUUUAAAUAUUUGCUUUGUUUUGUUUAUAGCUUAAUGUCUUUCUAGUAUAUCAUAGACUUCAUUAUAUAAACACUAUAUUCAAUCCCACACGUGUGUGUGCAUGUGUGUGUAGAAAGAAAAAUUAUCCCUCUGUAUUUACAUGACUCUGUUUGAACAUUCACAAAGGAUCAGUACAUUACAAACCAAAAGACCCCUUAGUCUUUAUAUCUUUCAUUGUGACUUUAACCUCAUCAUGACAAAUUACGGCUUGACAGAUGAUCCAACAAAGGUAUUAAAAAACAUGCUAGGUAGGUGCUUUAGGAUAACGAUUUAUAAAACAAGCACUGAGGUCAAGUACUAUGAGCAGAACAUUCCAACAGUCAUAAUAUAACAGUUCUAAUAGAGCAGAUCCUUCGUGAAUUUUAGGGGAGGUAACCAUAAAUUUAUUUUAAUAAUGUCUGUCAGUCAAUAUAAUUUAUUUUUAUUUUAUGCAAAAGACAAUAUAAAUAAAAACUUGUGAAUAUUAGAGCCAAAUAAAGAAGGAACUAGGUAAUGUUGUCCUUAUACUUCUGUAUUGAAUAUAAACCAGAUUUUAGUUUUCAUCCUACAUGAGAGGGACGGGAAAAGAAUAAUAUUAGCCAAAUACACUGACUCAUUUUUCAGAAACAGCAAGAUUUAAGAGCAGAGAUAGGGAAAUAAAUGAAAGGAAGGAAAUUCAGGCAUUUUUUAGGACUUAAUAAGAAGAAAGCAAAUGACUAGAUAAUGGGUUUUAUGGGCUAAAACCAUGCUUUCCUAUAUAGAACAAUAUCUUUCAGGCAGCCUUCUGUGGGCACAUUGUUCUAAUGCUUCUGUAGCGGCUGCCGCAGUUUUGUUCUGGUUCGUUCACAUUUAGUCGCUCAGUCACCAUUUGUGUGCAUGGCCCUAAUUUAUAAGCAAAUGACCUUCUGACCAACUGUGUGUGUACACAUCUCUCUUCUCCUCUGAACAUUUGAAGCAAAGUUUGGUAAAUAGUGCAAGAUUCAGGAGGGAAGACAUAAAUCAAAACUAAAAUCUUGAUUUCAAUGCCUUGAACUCUUGCUAUACAUUUUGUCAUUCUUGGGCCUUGGUCAAAUGGUUAAUGAGACCCAAACUAUUUGAAAUGCAUGUCUCUAAAAUCUAAGCGGGAUGCAGCCGCAGUUGAGUAAAGAACUAUUAAAAUGAUGAAAUCAUUAUAUUGCAUCCAAGGAUAAAAGACAUUGUAAAUAUUUAGUCUUUCACAGUCACAAACCACUUAAACGGAUGAACAUAGUCUAUGCAUUGGUUUAUGGGUCUAAUAGCCUCCAGGAAAUGUCAAGGUCAUAUACUCUCCCAGAACACAAGAUUUUGCUUUUGAAUUUUUAAUUUAACUAAAAGAUGUGUAAAAGCACACAGUCGCUGAGCUCCCUAUUGGCUCCACAUCUGUGUAGGAUUAUAUGCAAACAAUAUUUGAGCUAGCUUUGGCAGUCACAUAGACUCACUAGCUUGAGUGUAAUUAAUUUUUUUUGAAGGAGAGACAAGAAUUAAAGGAAGACAAUUUGGAGAAGCACUGUUUUCAGCAAUAAUCUUACUCAUGAGAUUUUGGUGGACAACAUACCUACUGCUCAAGGAACUUUCUAAAAAUUACCUCUGCUGAUUUGGCUGCAUUAACGAAGUUAGUAAACAACGGCAUGACUUACUUCUUGGUGACCUUUUCAGUUUGCAAAGGUUGCACAAAGUAUUUUUUUAAAUACAUUGUAAUAUGGUAGGACAGAGGCAGAGCAAAUUCCCACAAUUUGUCAAAUGCUGCCUUAUAAUUACAACACAAUCUUGAGAUAUCCUGAUUCCUGGAAUGCAAAAAAA